Long non-coding RNA from Leguminivora glycinivorella, 770 nucleotides. RefSeq lists it as uncharacterized. The transcript has 5 exons. The record is from RefSeq and is a predicted model, not a curated record. Lineage: Eukaryota; Metazoa; Arthropoda; Insecta; Lepidoptera; Tortricidae.
CGUACAAUGUCAUGUCAGUUUCAACUCCUGCGCCAUUGUAAAGUCAGGAAAAUAUGUGAAAACGACGGAAAUUCCUUCUUUAGAAGGUUCCAAACGGGUUUAUCCUAAUUGUUCCUUUAUCACAACAUGUGGAAAUCGUGAAAAUUUGCUAAUUUUCAAUCAAAUUAAUCACAUGAAGAAGAACAUUAUAAUCAACUGUAUUUUCAUUUAAUUGAUCACGAUGUUAUAAUCAAAUCACAGGAAAGAGAAGAAUCCUAUUAUAUUUAGUUGACGUUCUAUAAUUUUACAAGCAUGAUGAAAGUGAUGUCAACUAUACUUGACGUCUUUCUUCAGAUACUCUUCUUGCCUAUAUCUGUCAUCUAGCUCUGAAUCAUCAAGUACUACUAUUUUGCAUGUUCUGAAAAUCAACUGUGUGAUGCCGGUGUUUUUCCCGACUUCAAGAAGCUGCAUUCAUGAAAGAUGUAUUCCACUCGGAGUGCGAUAACAAACUUGUCGCUUUCAAUCAGGUAUCAAGGAAACAAGGAGAUAUUAAUUUUAAGUAAUGAAAAAUGAUAAAUGGGAAUAUUAUAUAUGUUUUUAUUAUUUUUAUGAAUAAUAAAUGUUUCUUAUUGUUUUAAUUUUAUUUAGAGUUCAAAAUAUAGUGUACACACUCCGCCUCACAGCAACAAAAUGUAGCCUUGUAACGGCUACUUUCUAUUAUUUAUUUGUAAACCUUGGUAUUCAGGAUGUGUUCUAAAGAGCGCAUCCUAGAUCCUGGUCACGGCACCAAA